GUCAAGCGCUUGUCCGGCAGUUAGCAAAUUAUUGAUUCUUCAUCGGACCAAGGCCGAUUUGUCCAGGACCAAUUUUCGGAUCUCCUGGGCUUCCUGGAACAAGGACUAGUGAUUGUUUCGAGGAGCUGUCAUGGUGUUGGCUCUUGAUAUUUUAUCGUGAAACGCAGAUUUAAUGAUGAAGGCGCGUCGGAACCCAAACGUCAAGAAUCGCCGACGUUCACAGAAGCAGCUACAAUGAGCGGAGAAUCUGAGAGCCAGGAAUGCGGAGCACCUUGCUACUACUAAAAUGGAGAACCCGGACCUGUUAGCGACAUGGAACUGACCAGGACCGUCGUGGGCUCCUCAUGUGCCACCCCCGUAUACCUUUUCUGAUUGUGGUGUUUACAGUACAGUAGUGUACAUAUUCAUGAAAAAAAAAUUUUAGGUACUUUUUUUACAUUUUUAAAAAACGCACUCUGCAUGGUUUUGGAGUUUCGACUUCGUGCUAGAUAAAAACCCCCAGGCAAGAGCAAACAAUUUUUUUUCCUAGCCUAUAUUUGUGACCCACUGCAAAGGCCUCUCUUUUCUUCCGCCACCCAUCACGUUUUGCCGCCUGCUUCGGCUAGCCGCAGCAAAAUACGUCGAGGUCAUCUCGCCUCGUUUUUUUUUGGUCUACCUCUGCCCCGACUAGUCGGGUGGUGUCCAGUUAGCAAACUAUACACCCUGUUUCUAUUUUAAAUUAUAUGUGUUGUAUUCUUUUCUUGUACAAUAAAGUGUUUACUUACUUACUUUUCAUUCCGUUAACUUUAAGGGGAGGUUCUUUAGAUUAAAUACGAUUAAUUUCUCAAAAAAGCUAGCGUCUUGACUGUUACGUUUACCGAGUUUGAAAAAAUAAUAGUUAUUUGUUUUACAAGGGGGCAAAGUAGUUGUUUAACUGGACGUGCCAAUAUUGAUACCUGAGCAAGGGAAAGAUUUCAAUAUUGAACCGCGAGCGUAGCGAGUGG
Molecule: long non-coding RNA, 983 nt
Organism: Leguminivora glycinivorella
Lineage: Eukaryota; Metazoa; Arthropoda; Insecta; Lepidoptera; Tortricidae
Exons: 4
Source: RefSeq, a predicted model, not a curated record